Molecule: RNA transcript, 1646 nt
Organism: Malania oleifera
Lineage: Eukaryota; Viridiplantae; Streptophyta; Magnoliopsida; Santalales; Ximeniaceae
Gene name: protein N-terminal and lysine N-methyltransferase EFM7
Exons: 9
Source: RefSeq, a predicted model, not a curated record
AGGCGUAUCAAGUAGGCGAUUCCAAUUUUUUGGUAUAGAAAGAGAUGGUCGGAACUUUGGGGAGCUAAGUCGUAAAAUUCGUGGAAAUGGUGGGCUUGUUGCGCUUGGACUUUCUUAAAAAAAAUUCUUCGUUCCAAACUUUGAUAUGAAGCACACCUAGGCCACCUUCAUCUUUGGGGGAGACGAGCCUCUUUCCAGGCCACAUGAGGCCUGUUGUCUUUACCCGUUUUAGCUCUUAGGGUCCUAGUCCAACGGAGGUACCAUGGUUGGGUGACUUGGGUCAGCAGAUUCAGCACACGUAGUCGAAUACAGAAGAAAACAUUCUAGGUCCGCCAAAACUUCACUGGGACUUUGGGUUGGUCGCUUGUGAGCAGAAGAAGAAAUGGACAUUGCUCUCUUCUCUCCAUCCUCGCUUUUCGCCGACGCUGAUGCUUGCUCUAGUGAUGAGGAAGCGACAGGCACCCAUCAAAGAUACAUGGAAAGAAGGCAUCAAUUUCCUGGAAUGGAGUUGCUCAUCCGCGAAUUUUCCUUUCACAAGCUGAAUGCUAAUUUACUCUGGCCAGGAACAUUUGCAUUUGCGGAAUGGUUAAUUCAACACCAGUCAUGGAUAGAAGGACGACACUGCAUUGAAUUAGGCAGUGGAACUGGAGCUUUGGCCAUUUUUUUGCGGAAACUUUUGCAACUUGAUAUCACUACUUCAGACUAUAAUGAUCCAGAAAUUGAAGAAAAUAUUGCUCACAAUUGCACGAUGAAUGGGAUAACACCAAUCCUUCCUCACAUAAAGCAUUCAUGGGGAGACACAUUUCCAACAACAGAGCCAGACUGGGACCUGGUUAUUGCUAGUGAUAUUCUAUUGUAUGUGAAACAGUACACCAACUUGAUAACAACUCUCUCCUUUCUCCUAAAAUCUUUCAAGUCAAAGGAUGAAAACACACUGGCUCUGAUGGAAGAAGAAACAACUGUAGGGUUGCCUCGGCCAGCAUUUUUAAUGAGUUGGAGACGUCGAAUAGGAAAGGAGGAUGAGUCCCUUUUCUUCACUGGCUGUGAAAAUGCUGGUCUUGAUGUACAGCAUUUGGGAUCUCGUGUGUAUUGCAUCAAGCCUAGGAAAACAACUCUUGAAGGGGGAACAAGCGGUCACGCGAAAUCGUUCCAUUAACUUCAGUUGCCUUCCAGAGGAUAAAAUUGUUUGCGAGGGCCUAGGAUUGUUUUGACACUUAUUUUCUCACACCCAAGACGUGCAUGGGUACAAGGUUCACCAUCUCUAUUCAGGAGAAUGAUUGAUCUGGCAUCAACCUAAUAAGAAACUUCAAAGAAAUCGCAUGAACGCGGCAAGUAGCAAUCCCGCAGCUGACGGCACACAUCACAAGCUGGGCCCUCCAUGCUCUUUUAGGACAAGCAUCAAACACAUGGUGACCAUCAGUUCGGCUGGAUCAAUUGCUACCACACAAUGACGUGACAUAUCCUAAAACUUUUGAGGUAGAUAUGCUAAUGCCCAAUUGAAUGCAUGAGAGGUCAUUGUUGAGUGAAUUUGUUAUUUUCAUAAUUUCAGUGGAGCUGACUUAAUACUUUUUAAUACAAAUUUAUCAAUCUGAAAAAUAUGUAAACUAUAAAUUUAUGUUAUGAUAUAAUUUAAACAAUUAUAUUCA